CCCUUAGAUGUUCUGGGCCGCACGCGUGCUACACUGAGUGGAUCAGCGGGUCAGGUUGCGCGAAAGCGUUUCCUAAUCUUUAAAUCCGCUCGUGAUGGGGAUUGACGGUUGCAAUUUUCUGUCAUGAACGAGGAAUACCUAGUAAGCGCGAGUCAUCAGCUCGUGCUGAUUACGUCCCUGCCCUUUGUACACACCGCCCGUCGCUCCUACCGAUUGAGUGUUCCGGUGAAUAAUUCGGACUGCAGCAGCGUGGGGACUCCUCAUGCUGCAGCGGAAAGUUUGGUGAACCUUAACACUUAGAGGAAGGAGAAGUCGUAACA
RNAcentral lists this ribosomal RNA (320 nucleotides) under uncultured eukaryote. Its description in RNAcentral is "partial 18S ribosomal RNA". It matches the Rfam family "Eukaryotic small subunit ribosomal RNA", at positions 1470 to 1796 of the family's 1831-position model. The record is from RNAcentral.